Molecule: ribosomal RNA, 471 nt
Filed under: uncultured Lutibacterium sp.
Lineage: Bacteria; Pseudomonadati; Pseudomonadota; Alphaproteobacteria; Sphingomonadales; Sphingomonadaceae
Description: bacterial SSU rRNA
Rfam family: Bacterial small subunit ribosomal RNA
Source: RNAcentral
UGGGCGAAAGCCUGAUCCAGCAAUGCCGCGUGAGUGAUGAAGGCCUUAGGGUUGUAAAGCUCUUUUACCAGGGAUGAUAAUGACAGUACCUGGAGAAUAAGCUCCGGCUAACUCCGUGCCAGCAGCCGCGGUAAUACGGAGGGAGCUAGCGUUGUUCGGAAAUACUGGGCGUAAAGCGAACGUAGGCGGUCUAGUAAGUCAGGGGUGAAAUCCCGGAGCUCAACUCCGGAACUGCCCUUGAAACUACUAAACUAGAAUCCUGGAGAGGUCAGUGGAAUUCCGAGUGUAGAGGUGAAAUUCGUAGAUAUUCGGAAGAACACCAGUGGCGAAGGCGACUGACUGGACAGGUAUUGACGCUGAGGUUCGAAAGCGUGGGGAGCAAACAGGAUUAGAUACCCUGGUAGUCCACGCCGUAAACGAUGAUAACUAGCUGUCCGGGCUCAUAGAGCUUGGGUGGCGCAGCUAACGCAU